Molecule: non-coding RNA, 72 nt
Organism: Anaerolineae bacterium 49_20
Lineage: Bacteria; Bacillati; Chloroflexota; Anaerolineae
Source: Rfam
GUUCCCGUGGCCUAAUGGAUAAGGCAUCGGCCUCCGGAGCCGGUCAUGUGAGUUCGAAUCUCACCGGGAACA